GAUGAAGAACGUAGCGAAAUGUGAUACUUGGUGUGAAUUGCAGAAUCCCGUGAACCAUCGAGUCUUUUAACGCAAGUUGCGCCCGAAGCCAUUUGGUUGAGGGCACGUCUGCCUGGGCGUCACAUAUCGUUGCCCGAUGCCUAUUGCACUGUGAUAGGAAAUUCUAGGGCGAAAGAUGGCUUCCCGUGAGCGUUGUUGCCUCGCGGUUGGUUGAAAAUUGAGUCCUUGGUAGGGUGUGCCAUGAUAGAUGGUGGUCGAGUUUGCACGAGACCGAUCAUGUGUGCGCUCCCCAAAAUAUGGACUCUUUGACCCCACACGCGUCUUUUGACGCUCAUGACGAGACCUCAGGUCAGGCGGGGCUACCCGCUGAGUUUAAGCAUAUCAAUAAGCGGAGGA
RNAcentral lists this unclassified non-coding RNA (396 nucleotides) under soil metagenome. RNAcentral describes it as "partial contains 5.8S ribosomal RNA, internal transcribed spacer 2, and large subunit ribosomal RNA". The stretch from base 1 to 122 matches the Rfam family "5.8S ribosomal RNA", at positions 35 to 154 of the family's 154-position model. The record is from RNAcentral.